Molecule: unclassified non-coding RNA, 520 nt
Filed under: uncultured Glomus
Lineage: Eukaryota; Fungi; Glomeromycota; Glomeromycetes; Glomerales; Glomeraceae
Description: SSU rRNA
Rfam family: Eukaryotic small subunit ribosomal RNA
Source: RNAcentral
AGCAGCCGCGGUAAUUCCAGCUCCAAUAGCGUAUAUUAAAGUUGUUGCAGUUAAAAAGCUCGUAGUUGAAUUUCGAGACCGGUUUAUUGGUCGUGCUUUUGUACGUACUGGUAUUAUUGGUUUCUCCUUUCUGACGAAUCUUAAUGCCAUUAAUUUGGUGUUUUGGGGAAUCAGGACUGUUACUUUGAAAAAAUUAGAGUGUUUAAAGCAGGCUCACGCUUGAAUACAUUAGCAUGGAAUAACGGAAUAGGACGUUUGAUUCUAUUUUGUUGGUUUCUAGGAUCGACGUUAAUGAUUAAUAGGGAUAGUUGGGGGCAUUAGUAUUCAAUUGUCAGAGGUGAAAUUCUUGGAUUUAUUGAAGACUAACUACUGCGAAAGCAUUUGCCAAGGAUGUUUUCAUUAAUCAAGAACGAAAGUUAGGGGAUCGAAGACGAUCAGAUACCGUCGUAGUCUUAACCAUAAACUAUGCCGACUAGGGAUCGGAUGAUGUUAAUUUUUAAUGUACUCAUUCGGCGCCUUA